AUUUCAAAUAUAAUAAGUAUAAAUAAGAUUCUGUUAAACUUAUUUAUCUAAACUAUAUCAUUUUUUCGUUCGAAGGUUGUUUCGGAAAUAUGUCCUGCCGAUCUUGCUGUAAUCCAUGCUGCUCCCCCCCACCUUGCCCUCCACCCACUAUUUUAUGCAGGCCACCUUGCCCACCCCGUUGCCCACCUCAGCCAACUAAAACAACAGUUUACCUACGGCCUUGUACUCCUUGUCCACCUUGUUGCGCCAUUCCUUGUCCACCAAAGGUUAUCGUUGCGUGUACACCACCACCGCCACCCUGUCCACCGCCCUGUCCAACUGUGGCGUUCGUUUGCACCAAGAAAAUGGUCCCCUGUAUGCCCUGUCCACCGCCUACUCCGCCGCCUUGCUCCCCUUGUCGUGCAGUUUGCCUGUCUCAUCCCCCCUGUUAACUGCAGGCAAGAGUUGGAAGGUUUCUUCGGAUCUGACAGUUAGGCGUGUGGGAUCUAACGAGAACGACGAAUAUAUACGUGGAUUUGACUUUCUAUACGAAAAUAGGAAAAUAUCAGGUACAGAGAGUUUCAAAGAAAAUUUGCGAGAUAAGAUAAAAAUACAAGAUACAUGGAACUGUUUCAACGUUGAAGAAAUCCUGAUCAGGUAAAACGAAUUAAGACACAAGUUUCUAAUUAUGAUCGAUUUACUGUCUCGGAAGUGGCACAAAACUUACGACGAAGAGAUCCCGAUUGGUUGUAAUCUCGGAUUGAACUGUACUCGAAUGCGUCUUCCAACAAACUUUUAUUUCCCGAUCGAGGAAUUCGAUGAUCAUCGUAACCGAAUUAAGAAUUACCAAGAAUUUAAGUGACUUACCGAUUUAGACGUUAUCUUGUUAGGUUGCUCUUUAGAAUGACGAAUUGUUAAAAUAACGAGGAUUAUUCUUGUGAUAGAGAUCGAGAUUUCGUCGAGAGAAAUGUUUAUCUGUUAUUCCCAAUUUUCCCAAAGCUUAGAUGAUUUUAAAUCAACUGCAAUUCGUCCCACGCAAGUUAUAUUUACAUUGCACAGGCAUGUAUUUUUCCCCCCUUAAAAAUAAGUGCGUUUGCAAAGUGAAAGACCAUGGGGAGAAUUUGCUGCAUACUUUUCAAUACAGUUUAGUAAUAUAUUAAUUUUUCAAUAUCAUCGUUAAACAAACGAACGUGAUUACGAUGUACUUCAGCAUUUGAUAAUGUUGAUCGCAAUAGAAAACAGGUACCAUUCAUUUUUUACUGUGAUUUUUUUUUAUGAAUCAAGUCACGUUGUCAAGGUUUUGGUACGGUUGCGACAACGGGAUGACUGAUUUUAUCGUAUCACGUUCGAGAUAAAAAUUUCCAAGUUAUCUCAUAACCUAUUGACAUUAUCAGUAGUGGCAAAGAAAAAUACGGAAAGCUAAGAAAUACGCAAUUA
Bombus pascuorum is the source of this 1416-nucleotide long non-coding RNA. RefSeq lists it as uncharacterized. NCBI's taxonomy places the organism in Eukaryota, Metazoa, Arthropoda, Insecta, Hymenoptera, Apidae. The record is from RefSeq and is a predicted model, not a curated record. The transcript is spliced from 4 exons.